UACAGAGGGUGCAAGCGUUGUUCGGAAUUAUUGGGCGUAAAGCGCGUGUAGGCGGCUUUGCAAGUCGGGUGUGAAAGCCCUCGGCUCAACCGAGGAAGUGCGCCCGAAACUGCAGAGCUUGAGUACCGGAGAGGGUGGCGGAAUUCCUGGUGUAGAGGUGAAAUUCGUAGAUAUCGGGAGGAACACCAGCGGCGAAGGCGGCCACCUGGACGGAUACUGACGCUGAGACGCGAAGGCGUGGGGGAGCAAACAGG
This 254-nucleotide ribosomal RNA is filed under the name uncultured bacterium. RNAcentral describes it as "partial 16S ribosomal RNA". It matches the Rfam family "Bacterial small subunit ribosomal RNA", at positions 524 to 776 of the family's 1533-position model. The record is from RNAcentral.